AUGCAACAAAUACAAUCACCUGGUAGAAUCCAUUUCCUGAGAAAAGGGUGUCUGCUAGUCAAAGAAUUUACUUUUGAAAUGCCACAUGUACAGCUUUCCAGAAAAAAAAAAAAAAAAGGCUAUUUAGUGUAUUUUUAUAUUAAACAGCUACAGCUACAUUUAGAGCUUUCAUGGGUGAUUGUAUUAAAAGUUCAUCAUCUAAACAGCACUCCCAGGGCUCAUCUGAUAUAUCGAGGGAUAUGCCAGAACAUUUGCAGGUGUAAACAGGGUCUGUUCCUUGAGUCUGUCACUGUCUUUUUGUUUGUUCACCAUGCCAGGCUGCUCUGCUGCACCAGCUCCUCGUGGCUCCUGAGCCUAACAAUUCCCAAAAUAGGAGGCAGAAGCCCAACACAGAAUCGAUUGUAUCCAGUAUUUAUGACACUAUUUGGACCCCGUAAUACAAAUAUUUAAAGUCUAACAAAACUAUAAAGUUGCAACUAUAAACGUUUGGGAAUCACCCCCUAAAACAGUGAACAGUGUUUUAACAGGCCAGCAAGAAAAGCUGAAGUUAUUAAAUAUAACAGAGGGUGGCAAACUCAUUUCAUGAAGUAAUAACCCACCCCUCACAUGGAUACAGUUCUAGGCCUGUUCACUUCACAGCUUAGGAAAUUUUGCAAUGGCACCGUAAUCAUUUACGUGUUCUGCAAUUUGCAAAUCAAGAGCUCCCACUGGCAAAUAUUUCUCUGAGUUUGUUCCGUUAUUGGAGAGAGUGCUCAUCCCUUCUGAAAGGAAAUGGGAUCAACUACUGACAACUUUUAGUUAUUUUCAUGGGGAAUAUUUUCUGAUUGGUUCUCCUGCAGAAAUAUUUCGGAUACGGCGUGUUUCUCAAAAUUCUUUUUAAGGCACUCUGUAAGUGUCUCCCCUCCACACAUCCAGGUAACUUUGUAUUGAUCCACAGACCACACGCUUCACGAUGUUUGGCAGUACACUCUACCAGGUUACGCAUCCUCUCUUAAGGCACUUAAGACUGCUUUUUAUUUUUACAUACACCUAACAAUUCCAACUGAAGAAUCUCCUCCUGUUUCAACAGUCUGCCCAGCACACAUGCAUGGGCACACACAGGCUGAGCACUAACCUUACAGAAACACACUUGCUUAAACCCCUCCCAGUACACAUGUCCUAAGAGUAGGCCAGCUCAGU
RNAcentral lists this long non-coding RNA (1179 nucleotides) under Meleagris gallopavo (turkey). Its description in RNAcentral is "lncRNA (ENSMGAG00000022174.1)". Lineage: Eukaryota; Metazoa; Chordata; Aves; Galliformes; Phasianidae. The record is from RNAcentral.